UUGGGUUAAUACUUGGAUUUCAGAGAGUGAUAUCUUGCGAAUCAGGAUCCCAAAGUGUUGACUUGAUUGGGCCUGUCAAGUGGGAGUUCUCCUCAUCAAAGUCUCCCUUUGUCUGCUGGUUUCUCCUGUGUUCGCAGGUGAAGUCAGGUUGAGUUCAGAUUAGCCAAAACCCAUAGCGUACAUGGCCACACCAGCAACAACCUAAGCCGUGCAGAUGAUCAUUACCAUGUUAUUUGCUCCAGUGUCGCACUUAUUUUCUUCGUCAUCUUUUUCUGUCUUCCUUGUGACGGAACAAAAUGGUUCAGGGUUUGAAACUUUAAACGAGAGGUCAUGCGUAAAACUGGUUUUAUUGAUCAGGUCGACCUGUUUCUAUGAACUACAGUCCUGAAUAAUAUUGACACUAAAAUGCAGCAGUGAACCAACAGUAUCUAGACCUUCUGAUGGAAGGAGCAGCAUAAGUUUUCAGAAGGUUCACAUGGGAGUAUUAUUUCACAAUGUAGCAGUGCACACCAUGUCUGUUCUCUUCUAAAAUGACAUCACUGUAAUAAAUUAUCUAUGGGGAAUGAGUAAGAAAUCAGGGUGUUUAAAAGCACUGUAUUUUGUUAUGUUAGACUCAGUUUUACCGUCGAUAGUAUAUAAGUUUGUUGUUCAUUGCCCAUAGAAAGUGAUAUCAACACUUUGACAGGUUUUCUGGUUAUUAUUUCUUGUAGUAAAUAAUAAUUCGGCUUUAAACUCUUGCAAAGGAGCAUUGGUUUUAUUAGCAUUGAAAUAUUAUAUUUCAUUUUUAUUUUCUU
Molecule: long non-coding RNA, 794 nt
Organism: Macadamia integrifolia
Lineage: Eukaryota; Viridiplantae; Streptophyta; Magnoliopsida; Proteales; Proteaceae
Exons: 4
Source: RefSeq, a predicted model, not a curated record